GACGAACGCUGGCGGCGUGCCUAAUACAUGCAAGUAGAACGCUGAAGGAGGAGCUUGCUUCUCUGUAUGAGUUUCGCACGGGUGAGUAACGCGUAGGUAACCUGCCUGGUAGCGGGGGAUAACUAUUGGAAACGAUAGCUAAUACCGCAUAAUAGUAGAUGUCGCAUGACAUUUGCUUAAAAGGUGCAAUUGCAUCACUACCAGAUGGACCUGCGUUGUAUUAGCUAGUUGGUGAGGUAACGGCUCACCAAGGCAACGAUACAUAGCCGACCUGAGAGGGUGAUCGGCCACACUGGGACUGAGACACGGCCCAGACUCCUACGGGAGGCAGCAGUAGGGAAUCUUCGGCAAUGGACGGAAGUCUGACCGAGCAACGCCGCGUGAGUGAAGAAGGUUUUCGGAUCGUAAAGCUCUGUUGUAAGAGAAGAACGAGUGUGAGAGUGGAAAGUUCACACUGUGACGGUAUCUUACCAGAAAGGGACGGCUAACUACGUG
This 495-nucleotide ribosomal RNA is filed under the name uncultured bacterium. RNAcentral's name for it is "partial 16S ribosomal RNA". It matches the Rfam family "Bacterial small subunit ribosomal RNA", at positions 28 to 507 of the family's 1533-position model. The record is from RNAcentral.